UCAGCAAAAAGAGGAGGAUUGGCGGUGGAUGUUAGCUCAGGGCUAAUCUUCCUCAAAAAGAAAAAAAAUUAGAUUCGUGAGUACUACUUUAUCUCAGUAGUAAAAGAUUCUGAAGUUACUUACACAAAUAUAUUUUUGCCAAGAGCAUAGGAAAGUUAAUUCAACAAUUGUCUAUUCUUACGAUUCUUACGAGUAUGGUUUGCAGUCUUAAUGUAGUAGAGGGUAAGUGUCCUCACAAGACAGUCUCUCUAUCGUAUCUUGGAAGUAUACUUAUACUACAGAUUUCAGCUGGCUUAGAACCCUGCAAACAGUCCACCGUCAGCCUCUUUAGGGCAGGAACUGGGUCUGCUUUGCAUGCUAUUGUAGCCUCAGUAUUUCGCUCGGUGCUGGCCCAAGAUGGAGCUCUGUAGAUAUUUGCCUUCAUUUAUUGUUGAUGCUCUAACACAUGACCUCAAACUUGGUGGCUUAAAUAAUACAACUGUAUUAUCUUAGAGUCCUGUAGGUCGGCAGUCCCACAGGAGUCUUAUUGGUCUAAAAUCAAGGUCUCAGCAGGGCUGUGUCGCUUCUGGUGGCUUUAGAAUCUGACCACUUGCCUUUCCUGAUUGUAGUGGCUGCUGCGUCCCUUGGUUUGUGGCCCCUUCUUCCAUCUUUAAAGCCAGCAAUAGCAGGUAGAGUCCUUCUUAUGUUGCUGUCUCUCUGUGACCGGGAAGGUUCUGUGCUUUUAAGGAUUCAUGUGAUCAGAUCAGGUCCACCUGGAUUAUCCAAGAAAGUCUGCCCAGCUCGAGGUCCUUGAUCUUCAUCAUAUCUGCAAAGACUCUUUGCCAAGUAAAAUAUUCACGUUCCAAGGGUUAGGGCAGGGACAUCUUUGGGAACCUACCACAAUCUUUAUCAACUCCCUAAGAACCCCUUGCCUUGGUGAGUCUGGCUCCCUCUUCCUCUGUGUACAUCUGACGCUGUUCAUUAUCACUCGUCUACCAUUAGGGGUCAUUGUCACUAAUGAUGGGGGAGAAUCUUCCAAGUGCCAGAGUUCAAGGUGGCCUGUGGCAACAAAACGAGAGAGAAGUGGAGGAAGGAGAGAACGCCCCGUCUCCCCAUCUCGAGCCACACUUGGUGAGAGGCAUACCAAAGUUGUGUUGCUGGUACCCGCUGUAUAGGGCUCUAGUGAAUGGUGUUGUCAAUAUUUAUUUACGGCCCUGUAGACCCUGGCAUCAGUCUGUGGGACUGGAUCAGGAUCAGAAGCAAGUUAGAAACAUGAAAAGUACUGUCAAGCUUAAUAAAUGGAUUCGCUGAUUGUGUUUGAUUCACCCUGUCCUGAAAAUAUGAUUCUUUUCUUUAUUUCCUAGACAAAUAGAUUUUUGGUGGUGUUUGGACGUCUGUAUCCCAGCCCUAGACUCCCAAGUGAACCCGCUCACCUUGGGGCAUUUGGUUGCAGAUAACAAGUGACAAAUUUUGUUAUUUGGUACCAGAAGCAAGUAUAAUGGCGAAAGCAAGGAAUGACAGUUUAUUCGUCCUUUCAAAAAUAUUUAUUGGGUGUAUGUUGAGUUCUAAGUUCUAUUUUAGGUACUGAGGAUAUAAAAAUGAGAAGAAACAAAAAGACAGUUUGACAAACAGCCUGACUUAUUGAAAAGAAAUAAAAUCUACAAAAAGCCAAUAGCAGAAUUCCAAGACCAUAGCCAUCAGACAAGGACGAUGAGGAGAUUGAGAAAAGUUGACAGAAAGGUGAAGUGUCAUGCCCAAAAGUCGCAGAUGGGAAGUGAAGAGCCAGGAUUUGAACCCAAAGCUUCUGGGACUAGAGUCUGCACCCCUACCCACCACGAAACACUCUAAGGAAGUGUGUAAUAUGUUUCAGAAAGUGUCUCAUAAAAUGGUUAGACUAAAAAGAAA
This is a non-coding RNA of Equus caballus (horse), 1884 nucleotides long. The record is from RefSeq and is a predicted model, not a curated record. NCBI's taxonomy places the organism in Eukaryota, Metazoa, Chordata, Mammalia, Perissodactyla, Equidae.